CUAUUAGGUCACCCAGGACCCACCAAAGUGAGACACCCCAAAACCACUGGAGAUAUUCUGGGACACCCCCAAACCCUCUGGAGAUCUUCUGGGACACCCCAAACCUCCUGGAGAUAUUCUGGGACACCCCAAACCCUCUGGAGAUGUCAUCCAUGGGACCACCUCCAUCCCUUGGGGACAAACAGGGACAAAUGGGGACAAAGCCACCCUGGACACCCCAAACUCUUGGAACCCUCUGAAGUCACCCAGAACCCACCAAAGUGAGACACCCCAAAACCCUCUGGAGAUGUUCUGGGACACCCCCAAACCCCCUGGAGAUGUUUUAGGACACCCCCAAACCCUCUGGAGAUUUCUGGGACACCCCCAAACCCUCUGGAGAUNCACCCCCAAACCCUCUGGAGAUGCUCUGGGACACCCCAAACCCCCUGGAGAUGUUCUGGGACACCCCAAACCCUCUGGAGAUGUUCUGGGACACCCCAAACCCUCUGGAGAUGUUUUAGGACACCCCCAAACCCCCUGGAGAUGUUCUGGGACACCCCAAACCCUCUGGAGAUGUUUUGGGACACCCCAAACCCUCUGGAGAUGUUCUGGGACACCCCAAACCCUCUGGAGAUGCUCUGGUUCACCCCAAACCCCCUGGAGAUGUUCUGGGACACCCCAAACCCCCUGGAGUUGUUCUGGGACGCCCUAAAACCUUCUGGAGAUGUUGGCCAUGGGGCCACCUCCAUCCCUUGGGGACAAAUGGGGACAAACAGGGACAAAUGGGGACAAAGCCACCCUGGACAUCCCAAACUCUUGGAACCCUCUCAGGUCACCCAGAACCCAACAAAGUGAGACACCCCAAAACCAUCUGGAGAUGUUCUGGGACACCCCAAACCCCCUGGAGAUGUUCUGGGACACCCCCAAACCCUCUGGAGAUGUUUUGGGACAUCCCCCAAACCCUCUGGAGAUGUUGUCCAUGGGGCCACCUCCAUCCCUUGGGGACAAACGGGGACAAACAGGGACAAACAGGGACAAAUGGGGACAAAUGCCACCCUGGACACCCCAAAGUCUUGGAACCUUCUCAGAUCACCCAGGACCCACCAAUGUGAGACCCCCAAACCCCCUGGAGAUGUUCUGGGACACCUCAAAACCCUCUGGAGAUGUUCUGGGACACCUCAAAACCCUCUGGAGAUGCUCUGGGACACCUCAAAACCCUCUGGAGAUGUUUUAGGACACCCCCAACCCCCUGGAGAUGUUUUGGGACACCCCAAACCCCCUGGAGAUGUUUUAGGACACCCCAAACCCUCUGGAGAUGUUCUGGGACACCCCCAAACCCUCUGGAGAUGUUCUGGGACACCCCAAAACCCCCUGGAGAUGUUCUGGGACACCCCAAACCCCCUGGAGAUGUUCUGGGACA
RNAcentral lists this long non-coding RNA (1399 nucleotides) under Zonotrichia albicollis (white-throated sparrow). RNAcentral describes it as "lncRNA (ENSZALG00000009777.1)". The record is from RNAcentral. Lineage: Eukaryota; Metazoa; Chordata; Aves; Passeriformes; Passerellidae.